RNAcentral lists this long non-coding RNA (447 nucleotides) under Pan paniscus (pygmy chimpanzee). RNAcentral's name for it is "lncRNA (ENSPPAG00000045039.1)". The record is from RNAcentral. Lineage: Eukaryota; Metazoa; Chordata; Mammalia; Primates; Hominidae.
AUCUAUAUAUAGAUAUAGAUACUGAUAGAUAUAUAUUCAUUGAGAAAGCUGCUUAUAAUUUGAGAAUAUUAGUCAUGGAGUUUUCACACAUUUACUGGUUUCGUACUACCACAUGUUUUCCUCCUGCCUCUCUUUUCCAUCUUUAGCUUAAAAAAGGGAAAGAAGAGGAGGAGGAGGAGGAGGAAGGGGAGAAGCAGGAGGAGGAAGCAGAGAAGGAGGAGGAGGAGGAGAAAAGGAUUUGAAGAAAUUGAAUCAGUUCUGGAACAGCAGACACAGUUUAUCUUUUAGCAGUUCUGAAAUCAAAGUGCCUAAAAGGAGUCCACCCGGGUAUGUGGAAGCAAGAGGGAGUUAAUGACAAUGGAUUCACAAUGCUGAAGGUCAGAAAUUCCGGGAAUUUGAGGCCCCAAGACACCCCAUAGGUGGGGUACAGGUGGGUCAAAAAACAGG